CAGCGAGCUUCCAGAGAGCCACAGCUGUUAUGUUUAAGUGACACACUCCAGGGGGAUCCUCACAGGGGAUACAGGUGACUCAGCCUGAUGCUGUCCAGAAACCAGGCAAAACAUCACUUCUGUUCCCAAGGAGUCUAAUGCAUGCCCACCAUAUGCUUCACAUGGAUUCAGAGGAUUGGCCCGUUGUAUCUUCAUUCAAGGGUGACUGGCACAGGCUGCCCUGAAAAGCUGCAGUGUCUUUAUCCUUCAAAACUGACCAGAUACAUCCCUGAUCAACCUGUCCCAGCUGGCCUUGCUCAAAGCCGAGAAUCUGUACCAGAAGUUCUCCAAAGAUCCCAUCCGUCCUCAAUCUUUGGGUGCUUCUAAGAGUGAGGAGAGCUAAGUACAGGUUUCUUUUUCAUUGAGGUGAGCCUUACUGGUGUAGCGAGGCAGAUGGUGACUACUCUUUUUCAAAGGUGUAAAGAACAUCAUUCCAGAGUUUGAAUUAAGGGAGAGGCCAAGCACUUGCAAGGGUGCUCCAUUUAUAGGGUCUUUGCAGUCAAAAGAGAGAGAGAGUUUGAAAGUCAUAAUGAAAGUAAAUUAAAGGGCCCACAAGAGGGCACUUAGGAGACAAAGGUUUUUUUUUUUCCAAAAAAGGGUCACAGAAUGGAGUGCCUGGGAGGAUACAGUAAUGAUGCGGUUUCACAUUACAGCAAUAAUUCACUCACAGGACCAAGUUUAGAAUAACCUCACUGUCACAUAUUUUAAUUAGCAGCAAAGGUUCUUGUUAUGCUGGCAGUAAAGGGGAGAAGCCUAUUCCUCUUCCCCUGUCUUGUCCAGUUCUUUCCUAUUGGCUGCAGCCAUGAGCUAGAUAAUCUAAUUGAAACAGAAUAUUGAACUGCCACAACAAAACUAUUGUUACUCUGUUAGUGCAGUUCAGUGACUUGGACACAUCCUGAGGAUAUUCAGUUGCUAGAGCCAGUGCAAGUGAGGGGAAGGGGAAACACAGCUGUGCGAGGUGAAAGAGGCAAGAUCAUCCACUUUGGCCACACGCUCAAUUGGAACCAAGUGAAAUAUAUUAGACAUGAAAAAGAAAAUGUUAUCUGAAGUACUCUUGAUUACAAGUGAGUGCCUGGUAUGAUUUGGCAGCGUGGCUGCAGUGCUGCUGCACACCCUACAGCAGUGUGCUCUGCUCCACACUGCAACAGUACCCUACUCACAUUGGAGCUUCUUUGAAAACCCCAGGCAGGAAAAGUUUUAGAAACUACAUUCAACCUGUUGCGAAUUUCAACCUCGCCUUACAAAAAUCCAUCCCAUAACUAAAAACACUCGUGUAUGAGUCUAAUACAAGUCAAUGACAGAAGGCUAUCAAUAUCUCCAAAAUGUGUCUCAAAAUCGUGGCACCAUACAGCACUUACUCACCAGAACCUGCACUGACAGGCAAAGCAACAGCUCUUAAAACUGUACUUGAAUUCUAGUAUUAAUUAUGCUUUUUAACAGUAUGCAGAGCAUAUUUUAAGGGAUCUCUUACGUGAGCCUCUCUAGAGGCAUAUUAUUGUGAAACUGAUCGAUACAGUGAAGAAAUACCACGAUUUUCUUCUUUGGCAGACUAACCUUAUUACCCUUAUUUCUAGCACUAUAAUAGUAACAGAAACAAAUAAAAAUAAUAAGCAAAAAAACAACCAUCGCAAUUCAGUGACCUCCUACUAAACUAAGCUGAAAAUCCUUCAGAGGUCUCACCUACUAAACAGAUAUUUUUACAUACUUAGAAGCUUUCUGAGUUACACUGCAGCCUGACCAUGUGAGACAGGAAAGCCAUUCCAGACAUUUGAAGGUAUUCUCCUGAAAUGCAUACAUUGAAAAUGAGUGGUAAAUAAUAUCUUCCAAAACUAAGUACAAUCACACUCAGGACACAUUUAAGAAAAGUGUAUUUGCAGACAGUGUGGUGGGACCCUAAGUAAAACAAAUAUGUACUACUUGCUAAGUAAAUCAAAUAUGUACUACUUGGCUGCAUGUAACCAUUGUACUCAAAGCUGUAAGACAACCGUAUUUACUGAGUGGUGAAAAGAACAAUCUACAGAAGGAUUUCCAAUUAGCUCCCUGAGAACUCUCUAGUUGACCAACCUACAAAGAGAAAUUAAAAAAUAUCUGAUAAAAAAUUGUGGAAAAUGCUGUGCUACAUGUAGUUAGAUAAUAUCUAUUUAACUAAAUCAGACAGUGUUCUGUAAAAAGCUUAAACAGUCAUGGACAUCAGAAGAUCAGAAUGUUUCCUGCUCUAAAAUAUUAUAGGAUUUUCAGCAACUCACAGUUUCAAAAUAUGUCAACUGAUACUGUGGGCUGCAAAGCCAAAAACACAUUUAUAUGUAAGUUGCUCUGAAAGUAAUGCCUCCUACUUAUUUCCAUUUAAACUACAACAGAGCACAACACUGUUUGAUAGAGCAAAUUCUCAGCUACAGAACACUACAGUCACCACCACUAGCUAUGCAUUUUCAUCAGUGAUAAACAAGCCUGCAUGUUGUGCUUGUAAACAUUUGUACCAGCAGAGUUGAUCCGCUGCACCACGCACCACUUAAUUAAUGCACUGUUUGGUCUCCAUAAAUGUUCAGCAAGUGUCCAUGGAUGUCAGUGGAUGUCAUUUUUUCUGCAUGACAAAGUUCAGUGACACCCCUUCACUUCAUACACACUUCCAUGUUAGACACCACUUUGUCAGACUGCCCCUUUGUUGCCACCUGUCACACAGCAACAACA
Non-coding RNA from Meleagris gallopavo (turkey), 2727 nucleotides. Lineage: Eukaryota; Metazoa; Chordata; Aves; Galliformes; Phasianidae. The record is from RefSeq and is a predicted model, not a curated record.